Molecule: long non-coding RNA, 151 nt
Organism: Phyllostomus discolor (pale spear-nosed bat)
Lineage: Eukaryota; Metazoa; Chordata; Mammalia; Chiroptera; Phyllostomidae
Exons: 3
Source: RefSeq, a predicted model, not a curated record
GGAACAACUAUAUGUCAAAAAAUAGAACAAUCUAGAUAAAAUGAAUAAAUUCCAGGAAACACAUAAUCUCCCCAAGCGAAUCAGGAAGAAUCAGAAUAUAUUAACAGACUAAUUGCAACUAGUAAAAACACUACAUAACAACAUCUAACAU